This 550-nucleotide ribosomal RNA is filed under the name uncultured Nitrosomonadales bacterium. RNAcentral describes it as "bacterial SSU rRNA". It matches the Rfam family "Bacterial small subunit ribosomal RNA", at positions 56 to 601 of the family's 1533-position model. The record is from RNAcentral. Lineage: Bacteria; Pseudomonadati; Pseudomonadota; Betaproteobacteria; Nitrosomonadales.
UGCAAGUCGAACGGGGCGAGGGGGCAACUCCUCGCUUAGUGGCGAACGGGUGAGUAAUGCAUCGGAACGUGUCCCGUAGUGGGGGAUAACCCGGCGAAAGCCGGACUAAUACCGCAUAUGCUCUACGGAGGAAAGUGGGGGACCAGCAAUGGCCUCACGCUAUGGGAGCGGCCGAUGUCCGAUUAGCUUGUUGGUGAGGUAAUGACUCACCAAGGCGACGAUCGGUAGCUGGUCUGAGAGGAUGAUCAGCCACACUGGGACUGAGACACGGCCCAGACUCCUACGGGAGGCAGCAGUGGGGAAUUUUGGACAAUGGGGGCAACCCUGAUCCAGCCAUGCCGCGUGCGGGAAGAAGGCCUUCGGGUUGUAAACCGCUUUUAGUCGGGAAGAAAAGGCCGAGGUUAAUAACCUGGGUUUUUGACGGUACCGGCGGAAUAAGCACCGGCUAACUACGUGCCAGCAGCCGCGGUAAUACGUAGGGUGCGAGCGUUAAUCGGAAUUACUGGGCGUAAAGCGUGCGCAGGCGGUUCGUCGUGUCUGAUGUGAAAGC